RNA transcript from Prunus persica (peach), 1396 nucleotides. It is a transcript of the gene named very-long-chain 3-oxoacyl-CoA reductase 1, with no coding region annotated. The record is from RefSeq and is a predicted model, not a curated record. NCBI's taxonomy places the organism in Eukaryota, Viridiplantae, Streptophyta, Magnoliopsida, Rosales, Rosaceae. The transcript is spliced from 3 exons.
AUCUCAUUCAAAAUUUCACAAGAUUAUGUAAUAUAAAUUUGCGAAAAAUUAAAACUAGAUGGACUACACUACUUGCCCCAAGGUGCAAACCAAAAUAAUAAGUUGGCAUAGUUUAAUUAGGGAAUCUUUUGAACUAAUCAUUUGGCAUAGCCCAUAUGGCAUCUGACACACAUUACAAAUACUUUGUUUUCACUUUUCACCAUUAGAUUUUUUUAUUUUAUUUUUACUUUUCUUGGGUUUGAGACUCCUUCUCCUUGCCUUCUUUAAUUCUUGUUGCACUCACGCCUUCUUAGUGGUAAACCAAACCCUACCAAUUUCUCCACUGAAACUCUGGCGAUGGAAUUCCAAGAAAUUUUCAUAGUGGCAACAAGCACUGUAGGCUUCAUCUCUCUUUGUAAACCCAUCAUCAGUUUUCUCAGAUGGGUAUGGGUCGUGUUUCUGAGACCCCCAAAGAAUCUCAAGGACUAUGGCUCAUGGGCUCUCAUCACUGGCUCCACUGAUGGAAUUGGAAAAGCCCUUGCCUUUGAAAUGGCUUCAAAGGGUCUUAACCUUGUCUUGGUUGGUCGAAACCCUUCAAAGCUUGAAGCUACCUCCACUGAAUUACAUGAAAAAUAUGGUGGACAAAUUCAGAAUAAGAACAUUGUCAUUGACUUGGCCAAGUUCAGUGGGGAGGAGAUAGGAAAUGCCAUAGAGGAAGGAAUAAAAGGCCUUGAUGUUGGCAUUUUGAUUAAUAAUGCAGGGGUGGCUACCCUUAUGCCAGGUUUUUUCAUGAGGUUGAUUUGGAGCUGAUGGAGAGCACCAUGAAGGUGAACAUAGAGGGGGCCACUUGGGUGACUAAGGCAGUGCUUCCAAUUAUGCUUAAGAAGAAGAAAGGAGCAAUUGUCAACAUUGGCUCUGCUUCCUCUGAGAUUCUCCCUUCUUACCCUCUUUACACUGUUUAUGCUGCCUCCAAAGCGUACAUUUCAAUGUUCUCAAAAUCCAUUAGUUUGGAAUACAAGAAGCAUGGAAUUGACGUUCAGUGUCAGAUUCCUAUGUUGGUGGCAACAAAGAUGACAAAGUUAAAGCCAUCUUCAUUCUUCGUUGCAUCACCAGAGAUGUACAGCAAAGCAAGCAUGAGAUGGAUUGGCUAUGAGCAUCUCUGCACACCCUAUUGGGGUCACUCUGUGCAGUGGCUCAUAAUACAUGUUUUGCCUGAUGUGUUAUUGAAUGCCAUCAUCCUUAGGUACUUCAUUGGGAUGCGAAGGAGAGGCCAAUUGAAGGAGGCACAGAACAAAAGUAAACAAAUGUAGCCAGCAACAGAAAAAUUUAUGAGUUGCAUUUGAUGCAGCAUUGAAAUUGUGCUCAACUAGAGAUUACUUUUUCUGGAUGAAUAAAUUUACAACUAAUUUGAUGGUUU